AUUGAACGCUAGCGGGAUGCUUUACACAUGCAAGUCGAACGCGUGGCGGACGGGUGAGUAAUAUAUCGGAAAGUGCACAGUAGCGGGGGAUAAAUACUCGAAAGCGUGGCUAAUACCGCAUAAUAUUGGAGAGGCCGAUAUCGGCUUAGCGAUUUGGUGGGGUAAAGGCUCACAAGGGCAACGAUCCGUAGCUGGUUUGAGAGGAGGACCAGCCACACUGGGACUGAGACACGUCCCAGCCGCCUACGGUAGGCAGCAUGGGGGAAUUUUGGACAAUGGGUGAAACCCUGAUCCAGCCAUCCCGCGUGUAUGAGAAGGCCUGCGGGUGGUAAAGUACUUUUGGCAGAGAAGCGUUAUCUGCAGAAUAAGCACCGGCUAACUACGUGCCAGCAGCCGCGGUAAUUC
This 405-nucleotide ribosomal RNA is filed under the name uncultured bacterium. RNAcentral describes it as "partial 16S ribosomal RNA". It matches the Rfam family "Bacterial small subunit ribosomal RNA", at positions 30 to 526 of the family's 1533-position model. The record is from RNAcentral.